RNAcentral lists this long non-coding RNA (532 nucleotides) under Salmo salar (Atlantic salmon). RNAcentral describes it as "lncRNA (ENSSSAG00000089148.1)". The record is from RNAcentral. Lineage: Eukaryota; Metazoa; Chordata; Actinopteri; Salmoniformes; Salmonidae.
CACAUAUUCUAAGUCAGAGUCGUCAAGAGUUAACACAGUUUCCAACGAAGGGCCAGAAGUAUACAGAAUGGUGUCGUCUGCGUAGAGGUGGAUCAGAGAAUCACCAGCAGCAAGAGCGACAUCAUUGAUGUAUACAGAGAAGAGAGUCGGCCCGAAAAUUGAACCCUGUGGCACCCCCAUAGAGACUGCCAGAGGCACAUGGAGGCAGCAGCUGUACGGCAGUGGACGGGGUCGUAAAAGCGAGGGCCGAAAGAGGAAGUAAGGGGGACCUUCUGAGUUAUUACCCUCCAACGUACACACGGGGGCCUGGGAACUGUCCUCUUCUCACAGAGGACCACGGUGCAGCGUGGAGCAGGGCUGUUCUCCGGGCCUGCUUCCCCCAUCACCCUCUGUGUACUUUACCACCCCAUCACAAGUCCACAGCCGUCAUAAUGAGACAUGAGAGUAUACAGUAUGGACAACAAGACACCGUUUGCUCCAUAAUAAAACCAUUUGCUUACCAUUGCUUUACAACAGAUUUGUUCCCACCAUG